Molecule: ribosomal RNA, 169 nt
Filed under: uncultured bacterium
Lineage: Bacteria
Description: partial 16S ribosomal RNA
Rfam family: Bacterial small subunit ribosomal RNA
Source: RNAcentral
UCCUACGUGAGGCAGCAGUGGGGAAUCUUGGACAAUGGGCGCAAGCCUGAUCCAGCCAUGCCGCGUGAGUGAAGAAGGCCUUCGGGUUGUAAAGCUCUUUAAGCAGGGAGGAAAAGACAAUAGUGAAUAAAGGUAUACGUGACGGUUCCCACAAAAAAAAACCCCCCGC